CACACCGCCCGUCACACCAUGGAAGUCUGUUGCACCAGAAGUCGGUAGUCUAACCGCAAGGAGGGCGCCGACCACGGUGUGGCCGAUGACUGGGUG
RNAcentral lists this ribosomal RNA (96 nucleotides) under uncultured bacterium. RNAcentral's name for it is "partial 16S ribosomal RNA". It matches the Rfam family "Bacterial small subunit ribosomal RNA", at positions 1386 to 1482 of the family's 1533-position model. The record is from RNAcentral.